CUGACAUAAGUAACGAUAAAGCGGGUGAAAAGCCCGCUCGCCGGAAGACCAAGGGUUCCUGUCCAACGUUAAUCGGGGCAGGGUGAGUCGACCCCUAAGGCGAGGCCGAAAGGCGUAGUCGAUGGGAAACAGGUUAAUAUUCCUGUACUUGGUGUUACUGCGAAGGGGGGACGGAGAAGGCUAUGUUGGCCGGGCGACGGUUGUCCCGGUUUAAGCGUGUAGGCUGGUUUUCCAGGCAAAUCCGGAAAAUUAAGGCCGAGGCGUGAUGACGAGGCACUACGGUGCUGAAGCAACAAAUGCCCUGCUUCCAGGAAAAGCCUCUAAGCAUCAGGUAACAUCAAAUCGUACCCCAAACCGACACAGGUGGUCAGGUAGAGAAUACCAAGGCGCUUGAGAGAACUCGGGUGAAGGAACUAGGCAAAAUGGUGCCGUAACUUCGGGAGAAGGCACGCUGAUACGUAGGUGAAGCGACUUGCUCGUGGAGCUGAAAUCAGUCGAAGAUACCAGCUGGCUGCAACUGUUUAUUAAAAACACAGCACUGUGCAAACACGAAAGUGGACGUAUACGGUGUGACGCCUGCCCGGUGCCGGAAGGUUAAUUGAUGGGGUUAGCGCAAGCGAAGCUCUUGAUCGAAGCCCCGGUAAACGGCGGCCGUAACUAUAACGGUCCUAAGGUAGCGAAAUUCCUUGUCGGGUAAGUUCCGACCUGCACGAAUGGCGUAAUGAUGGCCAGGCUGUCUCCACCCGAGACUCAGUGAAAUUGAACUCGCUGUGAAGAUGCAGUGUACCCGCGGCAAGACGGAAAGACCCCGUGAACCUUUACUAUAGCUUGACACUGAACAUUGAGCCUUGAUGUGUAGGAUAGGUGGGAGGCUUUGAAGUGUGGACGCCAGUCUGCAUGGAGCCGACCUUGAAAUACCACCCUUUAAUGUUUGAUGUUCUAACGUGGACCCGUGAUCCGGGUUGCGGACAGUGUCUGGUGGGUAGUUUGACUGGGGCGGUCUCCUCCUAAAGAGUAACGGAGGAGCACGAAGGUUGGCUAAUCCUGGUCGGACAUCAGGAGGUUAGUGCAAUGGCAUAAGCCAGCUUGACUGCGAGCGUGACGGCGCGAGCAGGUGCGAAAGCAGGUCAUAGUGAUCCGGUGGUUCUGAAUGGAAGGGCCAUCGCUCAACGGAUAAAAGGUACUCCGGGGAUAACAGGCUGAUACCGCCCAAGAGUUCAUAUCGACGGCGGUGUUUGGCACCUCGAUGUCGGCUCAUCACAUCCUGGGGCUGAAGUAGGUCCCAAGGGUAUGGCUGUUCGCCAUUUAAAGUGGUACGCGAGCUGGGUUUAGAACGUCGUGAGACAGUUCGGUCCCUAUCUGCCGUGGGCGCUGGAGAACUGAGGGGGGCUGCUCCUAGUACGAGAGGACCGGAGUGGACGCAUCACUGGUGUUCGGGUUGUCAUGCCAAUGGCACUGCCCGGUAGCUAAAUGCGGAAGAGAUAAGUGCUGAAAGCAUCUAAGCACGAAACUUGCCCCGAGAUGAGUUCUCCCUGACCCUUUAAGGGUCCUGAAGGAACGUUGAAGACGACGACGUUGAUAGGCCGGGUGUGUAAGCGCAGCGAUGCGUUGAGCUAACCGGUACUAAUGAACCGUGAGGCUUAACCUUACAACGCCGAAG
This 1660-nucleotide ribosomal RNA is filed under the name Shigella flexneri. RNAcentral's name for it is "partial 23S ribosomal RNA". It matches the Rfam family "Bacterial large subunit ribosomal RNA", at positions 1297 to 2925 of the family's 2925-position model. Lineage: Bacteria; Pseudomonadati; Pseudomonadota; Gammaproteobacteria; Enterobacterales; Enterobacteriaceae. The record is from RNAcentral.